AUGCUGUCCCCACUUGGGGCCUUUGCACAUGCUGCCUUCUCCCUGACAGUCCUUCCCCUCUUCCUUCUCCUUCCUGCCUGCUCACAGCCUUGCAACCUCAGGGUCCAGCCCUCGCCCAGCCUGAGGGCUGCUCCGUCAGACGUCACAUUUAGCCUGUGCAGCCUUGGUGUCCCGUUCUCAGUGCAGAGGUGGGAAGUCCUGUCUGGGGCGGAUCUCAGACCCACCGGACAGGUUUGCUGUUCCCUGCAGUUGUCCUGGCUCAGAGGCAGCCCUGGUCGGCCUAGGCAAGAUCCUACGCUGGCUCAGGCAGGGCCGGGAGGCAGCCAGCACUGCCGGGGGACUUGCGAGGGCAAGUGGCAGUGGCAGGUGGGCCUUGGGUGUAGGGAGGUGGCUGGACAGGGCAGGGUCAGCUGGGGAGGCGGGCGAGGCCAGCAGGAGACAGGAAGUGAUGCAGGAGGAGAUAGGCACACGGCUGGUGCGACGUGGGCCGGCUGGUUGCUCCUGCCUCAGUUUCCCCUUCUACACCACAGGGAGGGCUGGAGAGGGAGGGCAAAGGGGGGCGCGGUAGGAGGGAGGGGAAAGGAGGGGGGGGAUGAGAGGCAGCAGGCGGGGCAGGAGCAGAGCCACAAGGGCUGGGGGGCAGCCAGGGGAAGUGGGUGCAGAAAGGAGAAGUGUGGUGAGGGACCCAGCGCCAGGAGGCGGGCAGGGAGGUGCUCCCACUGCUGGGGAACGCUGGGGCUUUCCAGAAUGUGGAGAAACAGGAAGCGCCCCGGCCCCGCCCCCACCCCCUGGGCAGGGCCAGGCCGACCCACCUGCCCCACCUCACCUGCCCAGGCCCGGGGUGGGGGUCUCCGCUCCCUGGGUGAGCCCUCCGCCUGCCUCAGUCUCCCAGUCUGCACGCUGGAGUCCUCCCCAGGAGGGAAACUGAGGGGUAGCCCAAGAAGCUCCCCAUGGACCCACAGGGAACCCCCCCCCCCGGGGGACCUGACAUCGGGGUCUGACUUUUCUGCUGUUUGA
This 1017-nucleotide long non-coding RNA is filed under the name Felis catus (domestic cat). Its description in RNAcentral is "lncRNA (ENSFCAG00000050062.1)". Lineage: Eukaryota; Metazoa; Chordata; Mammalia; Carnivora; Felidae. The record is from RNAcentral.